Molecule: transfer RNA, 74 nt
Filed under: Acidobacteriota bacterium
Lineage: Bacteria; Pseudomonadati; Acidobacteriota
Description: tRNA-Arg
Rfam family: tRNA
About the family: Transfer RNA (tRNA) molecules are approximately 80 nucleotides in length. Their secondary structure includes four short double-helical elements and three loops (D, anti-codon, and T loops).
Source: RNAcentral
GCUCCUGUAGCUCAGUUGGAUAGAGCGUUCGCCUCCUAAGCGAGAGGUCGCAGGUUCAAUUCCUGCCGGGAGCA